Molecule: ribosomal RNA, 460 nt
Filed under: uncultured bacterium
Lineage: Bacteria
Description: partial 16S ribosomal RNA
Rfam family: Bacterial small subunit ribosomal RNA
Source: RNAcentral
CCUACGGGAGGCAGCAGUGAGGAAUAUUGGUCAAUGGACGAGAGUCUGAACCAGCCAAGUAGCGUGAAGGAUGACUGCCCUAUGGGUUGUAAACUUCUUUUAUAAAGGAAUAAAACGAGGCACGUGUGCCUUUUUGCAUGUACUUUAUGAAUAAGGAUCGGCUAACUCCGUGCCAGCAGCCGCGGUAAUACGGAGGAUCCGUGCGUUAUCCGGAUUUGUUGGGUUUAAAGGGAGCGUAGAUGGGUUUUUAAGUCAGUUGUGAAAGUUUGCGGCUCAACCGUAAAAUUGCAAUGGAUACUAGCAGUCUUGAGUACAGUUGAGGUAGGCGGAAUUCGUGGUGGAGCGGUGAAAUGCUUAGAUAUCACGAAGAACCCCGAGUGCGAAGGCAGCUUACUAAACUGUGACUGACAUUGAUGCUCGAAAGUGUGGGUAUCAAACAGGAUUAGAUACCCCAGUAGUC